CACGGGGAAGAUGGCCAGGAGGACUGUGCGGUACUCGACGGCAUCUUCGUUGUUCGAGGGCGAGGAGUCCGUGCUCCCCAUGGGACUCUGGACUACUGUGGAGUUCAUCUUAGGAGAAGGAGAGCAAGGGAGAGAGGUGGUGAGUUGGGACAAGUCUCAUGUGCCCAGUGCUCCCUCCCUCCCUCUUACCUAAUGUGGUCCAGCUGAUGAUCUGAUUAAGAAGUGGCAGGCCCUGUUUCUGCUGCAGACUGGAGUGUGUGAGGGAGGGCACAUAUGCACACACUGCCACAUGGAGCAUCUGUUGAGUUUGACAGGUGCAGCGGUGUUCUCCGUCGUGAUGACCAGAGGUAACAGGCUGAUGUGAAGAGAGCAAGUAGACCUGCGCAGGUACUGAGCCAACAAACAACAAAUAUUACUAUAACACACACAGCAUCUAGCUUAAUGUUGCACAUGUACGUUGUAUAAAGGUAUUACAGCAAUAAUUAUCAGCUUAAUUAUCAGUCUCUGACUCCUGUAGAAUUUUUAGUUUUAUUUACAGCAUCAUGAGGCUUUUUGACCGGUUAUUUAAAGGGGAACCACGCCCACUUUACAUAUCACCUUCAGGUAGCUUGUAAUGGGAAGGCCGGUUUAGCUUUUCAAAUUAGUUGGAAAAUGGCUUCUGUGGAUAUAGCUUUGUUAGAUCUGAGAAAUUAACCCUAGUGAUGACUCGGAUUGAAGGCUACAACAUUUUAUAGAUUGCAAAUUCUAAUUGAAAACCGAGGGGGAAAAAAAGUUAAUUGAAGAUUUAACUAUUUAAACUAAAUGGAAGUUUGCAUACAUUUUCCAUAUUUUGGACAAUUGUAUAUUGAUAUGGGGAAAACAUUGAUAUUUUGAUAUUGAACAAAUCAUACUGCUCAUCUAGUUCUGAAUUCAAGAAAACUAAUUUUGUCAAUCUGUGAUGUCAUUUAAUUUAAGAAUGGAGAAAAAAAACCUUUUGAGGUCUUGUAAAUGUAAGAAAACAGAGGAAUCACUCACACCAGAUGUAUGUUCGGCUCUCUUCCCACAACAGGCAUCAGGGGGAAAAGAGCCAAAAACAAGCUGCCCAGAAACCAGCUCAAUGAGUGGAACUACAUGCGGACAGAGACAACACAUGCACAUAGUUAGAGGAUGUAUGACAAUUCAUUUUUUAACAAACAAACCAGAUACUAAUCUGAGGUAGACUGAUUAUUUAUAAGUUUAAGGGAACGUCAAAAAUGUGUGCAAGUUCCACAACAAACCACUUAGUUCCCAUCUUUGUGCAUCGCUUAACCCACAGAUGUUUCAACAAAUUGACGCAACUAAAAGACAAAAUGAACAACCACAUUUUUCAAAAGGAAGAAAGAAAAGAGAAAUGAUUUCAGGACUGGGGCAGAGGAUUGAAAUAAGUGAUCAAGUGUCGAAUCAUAUAACGAUCUUGAUUAUUGAGGAGAAUUUAUGAAACGGGUUUACUUAUCAAUGAAAUGCUGAAUAAAAAAAAUGUGAGGGUGGUGUAAAAAGAAAUCUAAAAGGCAAUACAGAAAUCCAAAAGAUAAUCUAUUCAAUCAUGUUGAUUAUAUUCAUUCUAUUAACUAUUAAUUAAGGUUAUUGCACUUUUUUCACCAAGUAGAUUCUUUCAGCGUCUUUUUUGUUCAUUGAUAAAGGUGACUGAUUUGUCCAUGAGUUGGCUUAACAUCCAUCAGUCAAGAAAAAUUCUGCAAAAGGGUUUAAUUCACAGGAAACUCCAUCUCCUAUUCCCACAUUUCCUGGAGAGACAUCAUUUUCCAUCACCUUUUCCAAGUAUGGAAAUCUACUUAUUCAAAUACCAUGACUUUUCCUGGCAAUACUCGACAUGUCUAGUUUGAAGUCAUUUUACAUUUUUUGUUUCCAAAAUGAGAGUAUUACUCAUUCAUUAGCUAUCGGAGCCAUUAUCUGUGACAGAGUUACCUUGGCCUUGCCAACAAGUCCUGACAGGAAGGGCCAGAGCGAGAGGACAGCCAGGCCCACAGUCAGCACGGCGCGAUAGAAGAAACUCGCCACCUGGGGGCAGCAGAGGUGAGCCGUCACCCACAGUGAACUGUAAACUACAUUGUAUCAUAAUGUACAUGUAGUAUUUGGAGGUCGGCUAAUGCUGUAUAGCAGAAAUAUGCCUCUACCUAUACAUUACAGAACCUUAUAGAACACCUACCAGUAACUCAACUCCAAAUGCCACCAGCACAAAAUAGCCAAAACAUUUCCACAGUGGAAGAGAAGGAGCCGACUGAAUCAAAUCUGUCAGAGUACGAGACCUAAAAUGGAUCAUUUAUGAGAUUAUUAUUUCACGUGAUAACAUUGAGAAGAAAACAAAAAUGCAAAUGCAGUGGGAAAACACCACUUCAAAGGAUGUAAAUUAUCUCAUCACUUGCGACAGACAUGCAUGAAUGUGAUGUGUGUGGUAAAUAAGAGCCAAGAUAAAAAGUGCAAUAUUCAUUGACUGUUUAUAAUGUAUGUGUGCACAUGUGUUUCAUGUUUUUUGUGGUACUCACUCCUU
Molecule: long non-coding RNA, 2524 nt
Organism: Scophthalmus maximus (turbot)
Lineage: Eukaryota; Metazoa; Chordata; Actinopteri; Pleuronectiformes; Scophthalmidae
Exons: 3
Source: RefSeq, a predicted model, not a curated record